GCGCGUCUCGCUCAGGCCCCGAUGAUAAAGUGAUUACUCUGAACUGAGGCUCAGCUUUGAAUGCGCCGAAGCACCGAGCCGCAGUAACGCGUGCGACCCACGUACGUAUUUCCAGGUCAAGACUGUUUGUUUACGUUCUGGAACUCCUGAGUGCAGCUGAGGCAAAAUAACCCUUAACAAACAUGCCGUGUGUCCCGCGUCCUCCGGCUGGACGUGCUGUCGUCUCCUGCAGGAGAGACGUGAGGCCAUCGUGCGCUUCAUGACCGAGGGGCGACUCAACAACCUGCUGGACGUGUUGCGGGCGAGGCGGGCGGUCACACGCGAGGACUACGAGUUCAUCACGGCGGCCAUGACACUGAGCGCACGCACGCGCUGCCUCCUGGACACGUGCGCUUGUCUGGGGGAGAAAGUCGCCGUCCUUGUAGCCACCACUCUGGGUCUGGUCUCUAUCGAGGCCACAAACGGACACGCCCGCUCUGUCUCUCUCUUCUAAAGGCCAGGGAAUGAAAUCACUAAAGUGUUCCUCUGUUAUUGACCUCGUUAGUGAGUUAUCUAAGAAGCAUCACGCCCUUUGUUAUAGAGACGGCGACAGAUUUGAUGUAAACUCGGCGCGUGCGACUUGAUCAGACGAGAGCUGAUCUGAUCACAGCGCGUCAGACAUCAUCAGCAGCAUUCUGUGGAGGUGUGAACCUCUUAAUCAGCACCUUUUUAACUCUUUUAAGUGAAUCUCAGGCUAUCAAAGAGGUCCGUGAUCUAUUACAACCUAAUUUAAGGAGCGUAUUUGUUCAGUUGUUUGUAAAAAAUGUUGUUUUUAAAAAAAAAAAAAUUAGAAGUUUUCCGUUUCUAUGGUCUUUUUUUUUUUCCGUCCAGCUUUUAAACGUACGCAUUGUUUCUGUCGCUUUUAUGAACCUAUGUGUGAGCUGGGAUUGUCCAUAUUUCUCUCAGUAUGUAAGCAUGGUAUGCUCUCCCGUAGGAGACGUCGUGCACGUUGCACAAACACGAGUAUUUCCUCAUCUAGUAGUGGAUUUUAUCCUGCAAGUAUCUUGUAACAAGAACGUCUUUAUUUUUUUUCACUGUUUUAUACAGCACCACGGUACAGCUCGUGUACCGUAUGGGGUUAAUCGGUGGACAUUAAAAAAGUUUAAAUGCAGUGGUGUGUGUUGGGGUUUUUUUUUUUCUUUUCUUCCUUUCAG
This is a long non-coding RNA of Ictalurus punctatus (channel catfish), 1193 nucleotides long. The record is from Ensembl. NCBI's taxonomy places the organism in Eukaryota, Metazoa, Chordata, Actinopteri, Siluriformes, Ictaluridae.